RNAcentral lists this ribosomal RNA (336 nucleotides) under Triticum aestivum (bread wheat). RNAcentral's name for it is "partial small subunit ribosomal RNA". Lineage: Eukaryota; Viridiplantae; Streptophyta; Magnoliopsida; Poales; Poaceae. The record is from RNAcentral.
AUGCUUGGUACUGAUCUGUGCCCUAACAAUUUAUGUCAAUUUUACUCUUGGUGCUAUGCUUUUCUUCCUCAUGGUGAGAGACACUUCACUAUGGGGCUGGCGGCUGCUUGCUGGGCCAUUUGGAACCGCAGAAAUCAGGCUACUUUCGAGUUUAAGAAGUUGUCAUCUCCUUUUGAGAUUGUCUUCACAACCUGCACACAUCUAUCUUACUGGGCAGGGCUGUUGAAGGACGAGGGACGAGCGGAGCUGGAGCAUGGCGCGGCGCUUCUGAAGAAGAAUGCUAAGGAGCUGAUGAGCCUUUGCACAACUGCAUACAUGAGGUCCACCCUGGGGUGA